GACGAACGCUGGCGGCGUGCUUAACACAUGCAAGUCGAACGGAAAGGCCCUGCUUGCAGGGUACUCGAGUUGCGAACGGGCGAGUAACACGUGGGUGAUCUGCCCUGCACUUCGGGAUAAGCCUGGGCAACUGGGUCGAAUACCGGAUAGGAGCCAUUUUUAGUGUGAUGGUUGGAAAGUUUUUUCGGUGUUGGAUGAGCUCGCGGCCUAUCAGCUUGUUGGUGGGGUAAUGGCCUACCAAGGCGGCGACGGGUAGCCGGCCUGCGAGGGUGGACGGCCACACUGGGACUGAGAGACGGCACAGACUCCUACGGGAGGCAGCAGUGGGGAAUAUUGCACAAUGGGCGCCAGCCUGAUGCAGCGACGCCGCGUGGGGUAUGACGGUCUUCGGGUUGUAGAAUACUUUCGCUAGGGACGAAGCUUUUUGUGACGGUACCUAGAUAAGAAGCACCGGCUAACUACGUG
This 465-nucleotide ribosomal RNA is filed under the name uncultured bacterium. Its description in RNAcentral is "partial 16S ribosomal RNA". It matches the Rfam family "Bacterial small subunit ribosomal RNA", at positions 28 to 507 of the family's 1533-position model. The record is from RNAcentral.